This 641-nucleotide long non-coding RNA is filed under the name Pogona vitticeps (central bearded dragon). Its description in RNAcentral is "lncRNA (ENSPVIG00000015794.1)". The record is from RNAcentral. Lineage: Eukaryota; Metazoa; Chordata; Lepidosauria; Squamata; Agamidae.
UCAGACAGGGAUAAGCCGACAGUAAAUUGGGAAUGAAGAUCAAGUCCCUGUUAUCUGCUUUCUUUCUCAUUAGAAGACAGGUGAACUCCCUGCCUUGGGAUAUCAGGUGGCUCAGUAUGGAAUCUGCAUCACAGAUCCAUUAGAAGAUGUGAACCAUCAGGCCCGGGAAGCCAUCAAGUGCCUUUAUCAGCUGCUGCUUCAUCACAUGGGCAGAAGACAUGGAAAGAAAUAUAUACGAGCAGCUCUUCAAGCUUCGGACACUCCGGCAGGUGCCAGAAGCACUGCAAAGCAUUAUUCCAAGUAAAGGUAAUGCUGCCAGACCAUAGAGGCCAAAGCUUACUGGCAGAGGACAUGCUCUGCACAAAGAGGAUCCCAGGUUUCACCUCUGGCACCUCCUGCUUUUUUUAAAAAAGGUGGCUAAGUAUUAUUAGCAAAUACAUGUUUUUACGUGAGCCGCUGCCUCUGGAAGUGACAAUGUUGGGCUCAAUAGAAAAACUGAGCUAGUAUAAGGUGGUUUCUGUUUUCCUUCGGUCCUAGACAGUGGCUUAGCUAAAUAUUUUCUUUUCCUGCACCAGCAAAUAUUUUCUGAAUUAUCUGAUGAGUUCUGAAUUAAUAUAUUCUCUUCCACAACUCCCUCUGCU